CUGUAAAGAGCUGUUACUUCAAGGUCUGGCCAUAAAACAUCCCGAGUGAUCAUCUACACGAAUUCUCUCCUUCCUUUCUACAGGGCAAAGGACUCUGGAGUGCAAGGAGCCCACAUCUCUGACUUAUUGCUCAAAGGAGAGCUAUUGGACCAGGAAUAUCUGUAUUUAACCUUUCACAGUGAGAAAUAAAACUUUGUUGUUCAAAGCCACGGUGAUUUUGGGAUGUUUGCUACAACGACUAGUGUUACCCGUCCUUGGACAAUCUUCAAGACAGGGACACGUGCCUCAUCAUCGUUGUAUUUCUAGAGCAGAGCACAAUGCCAAGAGCCCUUUACAAUGUGACAUUGCAGCUUCUCCCAUGGCACUGUGAAGGCAUCCACCCCUUGACUCCAUGCUGGCCUUGUGAUUGGCUCUAACAAAAUGCAGCACAGGAUUAAUUCCAGAUUACCCACUUUGGGCAGGAACACUGCCGGGAUGAUGUUGCGUUCCCCUCGGGGCAUCUCAUCACAGGGUCCACCAUGCCGAUUUGCCCAAUAGUUGGAGAAUCUCUUUCAGGAUGCAGAGAUCUUGGGUCAUUUUCGUGAGGUUAAAUGAGAAGAGUUUUUGAUGGAGAAUAUGUUCGUUUGUUAUAUUUUUUGUAUGUGGAAAGAGAAAACAUGAGUUCAUCUAAUGUCCUGGGAACCUACUCCACUUUAUUCUAAGUUGUAUGUCAACCUUGUCCAACCCCCUCAGGGCAAUGGGCUGUAACUAUAUUAGGGUGUGACUUUCCUCUAUAAAUCAGUUAUUUUUUUGUUUACUCUAAUCAAAAGUCAUUAUCAAUUCAUUCUUAAUAGUUUAGCCUCAAACAUUUUUUCUUUGGUAGCAAGCCAGACUUGGUGUAAGACAAAGGAGCAAUAAAUUUGUUAUUAAUCACGAUUGACUUCAGUGAUUU
Molecule: long non-coding RNA, 931 nt
Organism: Diceros bicornis minor
Lineage: Eukaryota; Metazoa; Chordata; Mammalia; Perissodactyla; Rhinocerotidae
Exons: 3
Source: RefSeq, a predicted model, not a curated record